Molecule: long non-coding RNA, 843 nt
Filed under: Equus caballus (horse)
Lineage: Eukaryota; Metazoa; Chordata; Mammalia; Perissodactyla; Equidae
Description: lncRNA (ENSECAG00000052192.1)
Source: RNAcentral
CUCCGGGAACGCUUUGCCUGUUUUUUGAGCAGCAUCUGAUGAUGAAAUGACAAGCCGGUUCCAGGGCAUCCUCAGAACAAGCAGCUUCCCAGCACCAAGGAAAAACUGUUCUGUCAACUGGCAGGCUGCUGGCACUGACAACUCCCUGCACCUGUUGUCAUAAGUGCUAAUGUCAAGAAAUUUCACCUUUUCACUUAAAGGAAGCACUUUGCGGUUUUUCUUUGUCGUAUCUGGAUUGCCAGCAUCACUACUCAUGUGGUUUGGGGCCAUUGUUAAGACUCAGCAACGAGCCUGGAAGAAGGAAAGUAAGCUCUGUUGGCUGGCCAUCCUGCCCCUUCAGCACCCCCCUCCCGCUGGACCGCCCAGGGUGCAGCCGGACAGCCCACAGCUACUCUGCGGCCAUCUGCAGACUGCCGGCCCCAAGGCCAUGCAGACAGCGGGAGUCCUUGGGGACACAUGCUUCAGGCGGACUCACACCACCAGGACACAUGCGACUUUCUCCUGGUCAGAUUGCUUCUUUGCAUCUGCCUCUGUGUAUUUUGGCUUGCAAAGCCUCUGUUUACAAAUCUGGGUCGAGGAAGGACAGGAAUUCCAACAACACGCGAUUCACAGAAGCCAGCCAGUGCCUCCUGUUCUCAUUUUUCCUUGUAAGGAGGAAGCGUGGAGAAAUGUCAAGUCACCGAUGGGACUCUGAAGCCACGCAGACCCAGCUGAUGUCCAGCUGUUAUCUUUAUUUACCAUCCUUGGGACUUUGGACAAAUCAUAUAACCUCUGUGAGCCUCAAAUUCUUCACUUUUUAAAGGAAGAUGAUACAAACUAGUUAUCAGAAUUAGAACCAAUAUG